RNAcentral lists this ribosomal RNA (425 nucleotides) under uncultured bacterium. RNAcentral's name for it is "partial 16S ribosomal RNA". It matches the Rfam family "Bacterial small subunit ribosomal RNA", at positions 354 to 796 of the family's 1533-position model. The record is from RNAcentral.
GUGAGGAAUUUUGCGCAAUGGGGGCAACCCUGACGCAGCGACGCCGCGUGGAGGACGAAGUCUUUCGGGAUGUAAACUCCUGUCAGUGGGGACGAUAAUGACGGUACCCACAGAGGAAGCACCGGCUAACUCCGUGCCAGCAGCCGCGGUAAGACGGAGGGUGCAAGCGUUGUUCGGAAUUACUGGGCGUAAAGCGUAUGUAGGCGGCGAGUUAAGUUCAAUGUUAAAGCCCACGGCUCAACCGAGGAGAUGCAUUGAAUACUGGCUAGCUAGAGGGUGUUAGAGGAAGACGGAAUUCCCAGUGUAGCGGUGAAAUGCGUAGAUAUUGGGAGGAACAUCGGUAGCGAAAGCGGUCUUCUGGGACAUACCUGACGCUGAGGUACGAAAGCGUGGGGAGCAAACGGGAUUAGAAUCCCUAGUAGUCC